UAGCUCAGUGGUAGAGCACUUGCCUAGCAUGUGUGAGGUCCUGGGUUCAAUACCCAG
This 57-nucleotide transfer RNA is filed under the name Urocitellus parryii (Arctic ground squirrel). RNAcentral describes it as "Spermophilus parryii (Arctic ground squirrel) tRNA". It matches the Rfam family "tRNA", at positions 8 to 63 of the family's 71-position model. Rfam says of the family: Transfer RNA (tRNA) molecules are approximately 80 nucleotides in length. Their secondary structure includes four short double-helical elements and three loops (D, anti-codon, and T loops). Lineage: Eukaryota; Metazoa; Chordata; Mammalia; Rodentia; Sciuridae. RNAcentral also lists the same sequence under 2 other names. The record is from Rfam by way of RNAcentral.